CACUCAAAAAAAUGCUGGGUUGUUUCUGUAAACAAAUUGUUGGGUUGAUUGUGCUGGGUCAAAAAGUUGGGUUGUUUGGGGUACUGUAAACACAUUAUUGGGUUGCUCAUGCUGGGUAAAAUGAUUUGUAACGGGGUCAUUCACAAAUAAACAGUUGGUUUGGUUAUUUUGACCCAGCAACUGGUUUAUUACUUUUUCAUUCUUUGCGGAACUUUCUGGAUUCUUCACUUGUGACUGGAGGAGGCACGCACUCGGAGCAGGCAGUGUUUUAUGCUGCUAAAGAGGAGACAGCUUUGAAGGUCCUACCAACUCUGCUUCCCCCAUCCAUCUACAGGAGAGGAGGAAAGGUCUUCAGACCCACCACAGAGGAGGCCCAGAAGUCAUUUAUUGACAUGCAACCUGUUGGGACCAACAUGGUUGAAUAUUUAAACCAUGAGAUGACUGGAGCAUUGCUGCACAUUCUGUGCCUCAGUGAUGAGACAAGGGGGACAUCACAGACCUUUGCCAUUAUUCCAGGCCACGCCAUUGAGACUGAGUCUUUGUUGGAGGCGGUUGAUCUUUGCUUUAAAGCUUUUUUUGUUUUUGAUGUUCAGUACACCAAACAGUGUCUCCCCACCUGGGAGUUUCUCCAGCAUGCUGUGUAUCAAAUUGAAGGAAAAGAGUCCUCCUCUGUAAAGUUUUUGAGGACAACAGUGGUUUCAGGCCCACAUGAUAUGUAGAUGAUUUUAAAAUGUAUUUUGUUGCUGUUCUUAAAUCAACACAUCUUAAUAAAUUAAAUUGUAAUCGUAUGAGAGUUCAAAUUAGUUGUUUAAUGACUUUUAAUGCCUGAAUAUUUGGACAGAUUUACAUUUGUUAUAAAGUCUGUGGGGAAGGGUGAAUGUCAG
This is a long non-coding RNA of Carassius carassius (crucian carp), 884 nucleotides long. RefSeq lists it as uncharacterized. The record is from RefSeq and is a predicted model, not a curated record. NCBI's taxonomy places the organism in Eukaryota, Metazoa, Chordata, Actinopteri, Cypriniformes, Cyprinidae. The transcript has 3 exons.